AUUAUACGGUUCAAUAUGAAUUAGGAAUUUCUCAAAUUGCUCUUGAUUUGAGCAUAUCAAAAUGCGGUUCAUAUGAAAAGUUGGAAUGCAGUUACAUUCCCAGGCUCUUAUCUUUGAAGAUUACAUUGAUUUAAUAAAUGUACUUUACGUUAAGUGUCUGUAAGCACACUUUCAUUUUUAAAAAAAACCAAGGUUGAUCUUUAAAAAUUGUCACGUGCCAUAUGCGGUGAUUUACUUCCAUCGACGAUAGUCAUUCAAGGACUGUGACGUAUUGUAUUUAUUGAAUCACACAUGUUUAUCUAUUAAAUUAUAGAAUCGUAAAUUACACGAUUUAAGUUUUUAAAGAUCGAAAAAUUUAAGCACCAUUUUUGUUGUUAUUGUUUUCUUUUGUUAAACCUUUAAAACUGUAACAUGUUCUCUGGGAUACGUAAAAAAAAAAAUAUAUAAGUAAUGAUAGCACCGGACUUUAUAAAGUUCAAUCUGCAGUUUGAUCAUGUUUCGUCAUUUAAUAACUCUUUCAAUUUUUUUUUUGUCGGGAUAGCGGGACUAUUGUUCAUAACAACUUGUAUGUUCCAUGCAUAUUCGAAGGGCUUUUCGCCACAAUAAAACUUCAGAGGGUCAGCUAAUCCACGUGUUUGAAAUUAACACAGGUGGUUGACUUCAAGCGAAAGGUGUAAAAUAUAUGGGGUCGGCGCGAACAGAUGUAAUCUAAAAUCAUAGGUAUCUUGCGCCGACUCCCUUUCUGACUUUUCGCAAAGUCAAACACUUCUGUAAAUUUCAAAUACCCAGACUAGCUAACUGUAAUUUACAUGUAGUUCUCCUUGGUAUUUGCACGGAAUAUACUAGUAAGAUUAUUGAAUUUUUUCUUUAUGAAUAUCUCUAUCGAAAUAUAGAAGCCUCGGUCAAAUAUAAUUAAUUCACGAUCAUUUAAAAAAAAAAAUUAUAGUUAAUAUCUUUGCUUCUAUUGAUAAAUAUUAUCAAUUAAUUCAAAUUUGUAAUAAUCGACAUUGCUCUGAUUUCGAUAUUGAAUGAAGUUAAUCUAAUUAGAUCCAUAUUCUCAUAAUAUGAAGUAAUUUAGUACCUUAAACACGCUUUUGAAGGAGAGAGAGAAAACACGUAAGUAAUUAUUGAAUAUCCCUAUUACAUGUAGUAUGCUUUUUAUUUACUGAAUAUACUAAUUCGCAUUCAAAACGGGAAUUGUACGUAUUACUCGUUAUUACUUCUAUUAUAAUUAAACUGGGAAUUAAUGAAUAUAUUAAUGAAGAAAGGGAUUAGAGUAUUUAAAUGAAGAUUUUCAAACAAGGUUUUCUAAAAGACAUAUAGUGUUUGGUAUCGUUGGAAUCGUCUCAAAAAGCUGAACAACAAUUUACAUAUCAGCGGGGAAAUAUUGAAUUUUUUUCUUUUUUUUUAAUUCCACCGUUAUCAUGUUAUUUAGCCUGCGGCACAUUUUCACAAAUUCUGCAAGGCGUCGAUAGCUCCCGCGAGCUGUGUGUAUUCGCAAAUAACACACACCGUGGAACACUGAGGACACGGUGUAUCUCCGUGGAUUUUCCUCCGUGGUCUUUCCACGGUGGGGUGUAUAAAACUCGUGUCGUGUACUGUAGGUUCUUACCCCAGGGCAGAGCCAAACUUGAUACAUGUAUACAGUGUUUAUGUGUAAAACACUUAAAUAGCAUCUUCUUUAGUGCUAUCAGUCUAUUCUCAGUACCUCGGUGAACAAAAGAGAUUUAUAAUUAGUCCGAUACUGGGGAUAUGUACAUGUAGGUUGGUCUAACUUGGAGAUCAUUGUACCUUAUUACAAUUAAUGGCGUUUGUAGAAUUAAUUUAAAACAUCACAUGUAUCACAUCAUUUUGAAUUGAUAGCUAUAAUUUCUUAAAUCAUUAACAAUUGUUUUAUAGACCUAAUCUGCAUGUUAAACCAUGUUUAUGGUGACUUAAAGAAAAAAGUUUUAUGUUAUCUAGGGGGAUGCAAAUUAAAAGGAAGUGACAUUAAGAAGUAAUUAUCAGAAAUUUUCAUGAAAAUUACAUGUUAUGCCCAAGAGAGGAUACGUAGGUGGUCACGUUCCAUCCAAGGAGAUUUGAUGAGAAGAAGGGUCGAGAAGAGGGCGGAAGAUGAUGAAAACAAGAUCCAGCCGGACGAUAUUAAACGAUUAGAAAAUUCACCUAUAUGUCGAAGGACAGAGGAGCUGUUUACCAGGUUCGCGGGUGUGGUGGAUAGAAUGAUGACCGAGGCAGAAAACACUUUUAUGAGGAAUUUUGUCUUGGUCAACAUCCUCAUCGAUAACGCUCAGAGAUUUGGGCCCUUCACCAGCAUCACCUUGAAGAUCAUCCGGCAAGCUGAGCGAAAUGGGGAUAUCCAUGUCCUUGUCAUAGCUGCACACAAGACCGGCACCAUUGCUCCUGGGACGCUACUGUUAGGACCCUCCCUUUGGGAGAAAUUUCAAGUUUACCUGGAGCUGCGCAAGAAACUGUCAGGGUUUACCACCGUACUGGACAUGGAAUCGCCGUCGUAUUCCUUACCUUCCCUAGCCGGACCGAGGUGCUUCAGGCCAUGAACUCGUCAAGCAUAUCGAAGGCCAUCCAAUCAAUAUGGAGGCAGGCGGGGUUGAAGAAACCCAUUUCUGGCACACAGCUACAAAAAGCUACUGCAACCACGGUAGAUUUUGUAGCAUAUAAAAGAUACUAUAGUAUAUAGAAAUAAAUGCAUAGAUAAAUGAGUGAGUGCAUGAAAGGUGAAGAUAACGAACAGUGAUCAAUCUCAUAACUCCUACAAGCAAUUCAUUUCAAAAUUAAGGAUUAUCUCCCUCAUGCAUAGCUCUUAUCCUUGGACGAAUUUGGCUCCACUUGUUUGGCACGCUGUUUUUGGCUAUAUUUAGAUCUAAAACUUCAUAGUUAUUUCGGAUUUCAAACAUUUCGGUUGAGCAUCACUGAAGAGACAUUAUUUGUCGAAAUGCGCAUCUGGUGCAUCAAAAUUGGUACCGUAUAAGUUUUACAAAAUAGAUAAUUGGGCAAACACGGACCCAUGUACACACCGGAGGUGGCAUCAGGUGCCGAGGAGUAGUAAACAUCCCCUGUCGAAUGUCUGGAUUUUUUCAGAUGCGCAAGAUAUUUCCAGAGACCAGGCUUAUGUUGGCCCAACAAAUGAGCCACAGGUCAAACACCCAGCUAACUCACCAAAAAGAGGACGCUGUGAGGAUCGUAAUUGUGAUCUCUCACGUGAUGAGAAAUAUAGCGACCCCGGGAGAGGCAGAGGUACUGGAAGACAGGCCAUGUCAUCGAAGAGGUUGAAGAGGAAGAGGAAACCCUCUCCUUGUCCAGACUGCGACGGCAUCCGCCGAUGAACUGACGCUGGAACCACUGACUCCGCUGCGGUCAAGCACCACUGUAUCUAGUCAGUUACCAUCAAACAUUCACGCUCACGGUAGGCUGCUAUUCUUGGAGGAGGAAGCCAAGUUCAUCCUUAAUGAAUGCCGCCAUAUGAUUUCUGAUCCAGAUCUUCCUAUAACUAGUGGAGCGUGUGACCGGGUGCUGCGGGGGACGCCAGAGGGGAGAGCCAUCAUCUCAAGUGUAAGAGGAAUAGAUCCAAAGGGAUAUCUGAAGAGGAUUGCAGAAGAUUGCAGAUAAAGUGUGCACUGCACGAAGGCAACAGACAGAGAAAUAGGAGACAUAGCAUAGGAGAGAUGGAGUGUUCAUCGGGGGCGCAAACGGUCCCCUCUGGUUUUUUUUUUUUUUUUUUUUUUGGAGAAAGACAGUACCAUCAUUUCCUCCUACAAGUGUUAUAGUUAGAAUUAUAGGGAGAGAUGGAGUGUUCCUUCGGGGGCGGAAAUAAUCCGUUCCGGGUUUUAUGGAGAGAGAGAGAGAGAGAGAGAGAGAGAGAGAGAGAGAGAGAGAGAGAGAGAGAGAAACGGUACCUAUUUUUGUAAUCAACACUUACAGCAUUUAUUUGACAUCCUUCAGACCUUGUACAGCUGUUAUGAAAGCAUUGUAGAUGUGCAUGUGUCUUUUUGGAAGUGAUAAGACAUUCUUCGAAAUAUUUGCAUGUGCAUGAUGUAAGCAUGGUACCUACUAUUUGUAACCAACUCCUCUCAUAGCUUUUACUUACAUUCUUCAGACCCUGUACAUUAUAAAUGUUAUAAAAUAUUGAAGAUAUACAUGUGAUAUUUUAAAAAUGCUACUGUUUUUGUUUUUUUGUUGUUUUUUUUUUUUUGUUUUUUUUUUUAAAUUCUACAUUUAAUAUGCAAUUUUCCAGUAUGUUCUCUACGGCUGUUUCUAUAAUAGAUUAACAUAUUUUAAAGCUACCCGGUCAUUUCUGUUCUUGAAUCAACUUUUUAAAUUUGUAUUUUUGAAUAUGGUAAACAUUACUUGCUAUGUCAUUGUUCUUGAAAUUAAAUUAAUUGAAUUGUUAUUGUGUUUUUGUAACUACAGUUUAUGUAGGAUCCCUUAAUUUCAAGCAGACAAGAAUGUGCCGCAAAGUUGCGGCAAACUGUUUUCUAGAAACAACAAUAACAAAUCCAUUAACAUAGAGAUUCCAUUUGCAAGAGUUUGUUCUCCAUAUGACCAGAUUUUAAGUCAAAGCAGGCUACUGACAAACAAGUUAGAAGCAGGCUACUGACAGAGAAGUUAAUGUUGCAGGGAUUUCAAAUUCUAUAAGAGUAUACAUUCCCUCUCCUUUCGUAACAGUAUGGCAGCCCAUGAACGAACUGCAUUUUCUCCAAUUCAGAAAUGAUGAGCACUUUACUUGUUUAUUUACGUAGAAUUGUGACUGAAAAUAUUAAAGUAGUCUUUAUUCGCAUUAGUCGCAGCAGGUACUUUGUCGAAAAAGAUAACUAUGACUAAAAGAAUGUAUUUUUUUUAAAAAUGUAAAAUUUGACACAUAGUCAAAAUGGUCUAACUCUGGG
Molecule: long non-coding RNA, 4898 nt
Organism: Ostrea edulis (European flat oyster)
Lineage: Eukaryota; Metazoa; Mollusca; Bivalvia; Ostreida; Ostreidae
Exons: 7
Source: RefSeq, a predicted model, not a curated record